Molecule: long non-coding RNA, 253 nt
Filed under: Gossypium barbadense (sea-island cotton)
Lineage: Eukaryota; Viridiplantae; Streptophyta; Magnoliopsida; Malvales; Malvaceae
Description: long non-coding RNA (GBAR_LNC001329)
Source: RNAcentral
GAGGGAAGAAUGAUGAGGACUGGGCGGAGAAGCACAAGGAACACAUCUAAGCUUGGGAUUGUAGGAUUGAAUCUAUACCCACCCAUGGACCAUUUUUUUCGGCGGACACGACAACAGUUGAUAAUUACUUGACAUGGUUCAGAGUCGUCAGCAAGUCGGAUCUACUGCUACUAGAGGCAAGGAGUAGGCAAAUUCGGCCUAAGAGGAAAUGUUGAUCACCACAAUAGCAUAGGAGGGGACACGAUCGCACGAC